GGCAAGGUGGCCGAGUGGUUAUGGCGCUAGUUUUAGGUCUAGACUUUCACUAGUGGGAAACUUCGCGGGUUCGAAUCCCGUCCUUGUCA
This is a transfer RNA of 89 nucleotides. It matches the Rfam family "tRNA". Rfam says of the family: Transfer RNA (tRNA) molecules are approximately 80 nucleotides in length. Their secondary structure includes four short double-helical elements and three loops (D, anti-codon, and T loops). Further hydrogen bonds mediate the characteristic L-shaped molecular structure. tRNAs have two regions of fundamental functional importance: the anti-codon, which is responsible for specific mRNA codon recognition, and the 3' end, to which the tRNAs corresponding amino acid is attached (by aminoacyl-tRNA synthetases). tRNAs cope with the degeneracy of the genetic code in two manners: having more than one tRNA (with a specific anti-codon) for a particular amino acid; and 'wobble' base-pairing, i.e. permitting non-standard base-pairing at the 3rd anti-codon position. The record is from Rfam.